This 497-nucleotide ribosomal RNA is filed under the name uncultured bacterium. RNAcentral's name for it is "partial 16S ribosomal RNA". It matches the Rfam family "Bacterial small subunit ribosomal RNA", at positions 28 to 507 of the family's 1533-position model. The record is from RNAcentral.
GAUGAACGCUGGCGGCGUGCCUAAUACAUGCAAGUAGAACGCUGAAGCUUGGUGCUUGCACCGAGCGGAUGAGUUGCGAACGGGUGAGUAACGCGUAGGUAACCUGCCUCUUAGCGGGGGAUAACUAUUGGAAACGAUAGCUAAUACCGCAUAAAAGUCGAUAUCGCAUGAUAUUGAUUUGAAAGGUGCAAAUGCAUCACUAAGAGAUGGACCUGCGUUGUAUUAGCUAGUUGGUGAGGUAACGGCUCACCAAGGCGACGAUACAUAGCCGACCUGAGAGGGUGAUCGGCCACACUGGGACUGAGACACGGCCCAGACUCCUACGGGAGGCAGCAGUAGGGAAUCUUCGGCAAUGGGGGCAACCCUGACCGAGCAACGCCGCGUGAGUGAAGAAGGUUUUCGGAUCGUAAAGCUCUGUUGUAAGAGAAGAACGAGUGUGAGAGUGGAAAGUUCGCACUGUGACGGUAACUUACCAGAAAGGGACGGCUAACUACGUG